Molecule: long non-coding RNA, 1754 nt
Organism: Symphalangus syndactylus (siamang)
Lineage: Eukaryota; Metazoa; Chordata; Mammalia; Primates; Hylobatidae
Source: RefSeq, a predicted model, not a curated record
AGCAAGACCCUGUCUCAAUCAAUCAAUCAAUCAAUCAAUCAAUCAAUACCAUCCUAGCCGGGUCUGUGGUCUCAACUACUCGUGAGGCUGCAACUUACUGGCCACAGGAAUGACCCAAGGCACUGGAUAAAAAUUCAGAUUCCUGCGGACUCUGAUUCCGAAGCUCCUCCCUGGAGUAGGCCGGGGAUCCCCAGGAAAAAUCAGCAGUUAUCCACGCUCAAGCAGCAUCAGAUCUUCAGCCUCGGCCCCCUUCCCCUUUCUGCCUGAAUUUCCAUGGCUUUCCUGAAAGGUCUGCUUGAAUUCCUCACAGUUCUACUCGUUGUAAACUGGAAAUGGUCCAGAUGCACUUGGAAGUUGGACUUCAACUCGAGUCCCAGAUUCACCUCUUACUAACUCCGUGGCCUUGGACAAGUUACUUAAUGUUUCUGAGUGUCUGUUUUCUCAUCUAUAAACUGAAGAUGACGGUAGUACCACAUCAAAGGCUGUCACAGGAUGCAUGGCAUUUAGCCAGUGCCUGGCAUGUGACAAACUCUCAGGGCACUCUCCUAUGACGUUGUUUGCACCUUGCUUUCUUACUCCAGCAAUGCGUACAAACAUCUUCCUUUUAUAGCAAGGGGACACUUCUAGCCCCAGUCUUUUAUAGGAACCUCGGGUCUAUAGCUCCAAUCCUAGACCAUCAAUACCACCAGUGGUGUUUUGUUGGUGUCAAAUUUUCACCUGGUCCCACUCAGCCUAGCUACAAGUUCCUCCUCCCCGACCUGCCUGCCCCCAUCUUAGUCAUGUCAUCUGUUCUCUGAGGCCUCCCGACAGAAGCCACCAGAAUACCUCCCUCUCUCUCCACAGUUAUCUGGGUUUCAAGCAAUUCUGUUAUUUCACUCUAAAGGGAGAGAAUGGAAUCAGAUAGACCUCCCUUUUUGUCCUGGCCCUGUUGCUUACACAGUGUGUGACGGUGAGCAGCCAUCUCUCUUCCCUGAGCCUCAGUUUCUUCAUCUGUAAGAUGGAGUGAUAGCUGACCUGCCACGUAGGGCUGCGGUUCUGAUGGCGAAAUGAGAUGGCUCGCGUAAGUGUGCAGCACCCUGAGAUCAGAGGGUCAUGCUCCACACACACAACUGCGAUUGCACCACUGCUGUGUGAUCCCCAUCUUGCUUGCUCUAGCCCUGGCUGUCAUUCCAGCCCUGUUUGCAGCACUGACAUGGCCUCCUAACAUGUCCCCACCUUCAAUCUUUCCCAGGACAAAUUUCAGUGUGUCACCAGGAUGACUUUCCCAAGGCAUAUCUGGAGCAGGUCAGUCUCUGCUCAAGACUUGGAUGGCUACAGUCCCCCUACCAUUGAACAGCUGGAGGCGUCCCAGCCCCAGCAUGGCUUCCACAGGCCCCGUGGCUCUGGAUGCAGAGUCUGUUUCCAGCCUGGGACGGAGCUGUGCUCAGCACUUUCCCACCCCUCUUUGUGAGUGCCCACCACCUGCACGGAGACUGUUUCUCAUUAUCCCAGCAGCCCCCGCCGGGCUCAGACAUCCCUCCUGGAGCUUGUAUUUCCAGGUCCCCUCCGGGUCCCGCUCCCCUGAGCAAACACUUGGUGCACUGGCCACUGCCCACGCAUCCUGCUGCACAGGGCUCUGUCUCCACCAUGACCCUGCAGCCUCGAGAGCAGAUGCCCAUUCUGUUCACUUUUGCAUCCUCUCUGCACCCCCAGCUUCCCUCUGCAAGUCUGAAAUGUUUGUUCACUCUCCUGCUAAUAAAUAACAUUUUUCUCAG